AUGAUGAUGGACAACGGAGACUUCACUAACACGCUCCACACAUUUGAGGACCUGCCUUGCAAGGGUCUUGGAGACAAAAUGUCAAAUGCAAGCAAUAGUAGAUGCUCAAGUCCAGCAUAUGGAGUUCCUAGUGAUGAGGGAAAUCAACCCAGUGAAUCCCAUUCCGAUAUAAUAAGACAGCUUCAUGAUGAAAUAGAUCGGUCCAAAAUGUCAUACAAAGAAGUAGAGGCUAUGGUCCAUGCCCACAUGAAGCCUAUUUUGGAUCAAAUUCGUUCAGAUGCAUGUAAAUUGGUGAUUAAGUCAUCAGCAUUGGAGGAUGGCUGUCACAGGAAAGACCAGCAGGACAGACACAUUCUCUUACACAUCCCCUCCCUCCAAGAGCUCCUUUUGAAAUUAGCCUUUACAAAAAACUCAGAUGACGUGCAGAGUUACCUGAUCUCGUCCGACCGAACAUUCCUACUCUCUGAGAACGAUGCCCUGAAAAUGGAGCUCAGAGAUGCCAAGUCUCGACAUGAGACUGUGAUGAAGAGCCUGCACCUUUCCCUUCACUCUGCUGAACAAGAAAACAAGAGCUCCAAGCUCACACUCCAGCAGAACCUCAGACUUUCUGAGGGCAAGGUAAACUCCAUGGAGCAGAAACUCAAGGAGUUUGAAGGACAGGUCCUGUCCUUGCAGCACAAUCUCAUGGCCUCUAAUGAAAGGACUCAGAGUCUGCAGAAAACCCUCCGGUUCUCUGACAAUAGGCUCCAGUCCCUUCAGCAGGACCUGGACGAGUCUGAGAAGAGAGGCCAAAGCCUGCAGAAAAGCCUUGGGGACUCCCAAGAGAGGAACCAGACUCUGCAACAUAACCUGGCUUCCUUUGAGAAGAACAACCAGUGCCUUAGCCAGAACCUUAGCGCUUCAGAGAAAAAGGUUGACUUCCUUCAGCACAGUAACUGGAAGUUUGAGGAGAGGGUGAAGUCUCUGCAGCAGACCCUCGGCUCUUCUGAGGGAAAGGUCUCUCUCCUGCAGCAGAGUCUGAAGUCUUCAGAGGAGAAGGUCUUAUCCCUCCAACAUGACCAUUGGGCCUUGGAUGAGAGAGCCCAGUCCCUGCAGCAGAGCCUCAACUCCUCAGAGGAAAAGCUCCAGUCGACACAACAUUGGCUCAAGGCUACAGAUGAGAAAGCCAAAGCCCUGAAGGAAGCUCUCAGAUCUUCAGAGGAGAAGACCCAGUCCUUACAGGAGGCCCUGGGGGUCAGUGAGAGCUGGAUCAGGGCAACCAAGGCCCAGCAGCAGUCUCUGGAGAAAUGCAAAGAGGAGCUGGAGGAGAGGAUCAAGGGUUUGAUGCAGACUCUCCGGGCCACUGAGGGGGAGCACCACAGCACAGUGCAGGACCUGCAGGUGGGUCUUCAGAGUGCCAGGGAGAAGGUGGAGAUUCUGCAGGAUGCACUGAACAGGACUGAGUCUGGGCAUGUGAAGGAGGUGGGGCAGCUUCAAGAGAAACUGAACAGAGCUGCAAAAAAAUUGUCUUCAAGAGAGCAGGCGCUGCACAGCCAGAUUGCUGCCUUGAACACUAAAUUGCUGGAGGAGCAGUCAAAGGCAAGCAAGGACCUUGAAAGAUCCAUUAGAUAUGAGAAAGAGCUGCAAGACACUGUCAAGAUUCUCAGGAAGAAGCUGAGAACUCAAACUGAGGAGAAGGGGUUUGCUCUGAAUAGCCUGAGAAUGCGUCAGAAGGACCUGGCGGAUGUACAGCGCCACCUACAGGCAGACCUGCUGAGGUGCAGCCAGGUCUGUGGCAAGGAGAAGGGACCGCAGUACUUAGCCCCCCGCAAGGGUGGCCUGAAGGAGGAGUUCUUCCACCUGAGAACCAGCCUGCACUCCGUCCUGGAGAAGGAGGCUGGGAGAGACGACCCAGGGAGGCAAGACUGGGUGCAGGUGUUAGACGAGAUCAAGGACUGGGAGAAAAGGGCAGAAAAACAGGUGGACAGUUUAGAUUCUCUGCAGAGUUCCCAGCUGCUGGAAGAAGGAGGGGAUGAAAGGUACCAAUAUAGAGCAGGAGCAUGGAAAAGUGGAGCACCACCCUCCAUCCGUUCCCCUUCUGCUGUGACGAUUUCCCAGAGGAACCUCUCUACGAGGCCUGCUUCUCCAUAUCCCUAUGGGCAAUAUCUAGGGCAGGAGAAGAGGCUUGGGUCUAGCUCCCUCCGUGGCUUGAAUGAUUCUGAAGGCAUGCAGCAUUUACUAACAAUCCAAAAAAGACUGAAGAACCUCCAGUCAGUUGAAUUCCAGAGGAAUAUCAAGGGUUUACUCCGGACCUCAUAG
This is a long non-coding RNA of Oncorhynchus mykiss (rainbow trout), 2298 nucleotides long. The record is from Ensembl. Lineage: Eukaryota; Metazoa; Chordata; Actinopteri; Salmoniformes; Salmonidae.